This 388-nucleotide ribosomal RNA is filed under the name uncultured bacterium. RNAcentral describes it as "partial 16S ribosomal RNA". It matches the Rfam family "Bacterial small subunit ribosomal RNA", at positions 523 to 918 of the family's 1533-position model. The record is from RNAcentral.
AUACGUAGGUGGCAAGCGUUAUCCGGAAUCAUUGGGCGUAAAGGGUGCGUAGGCGGCUUCUUAAGUUUGUAGUGAAAUCGUAGGGCUCAACUCUAUCUAGCUACAAAAACUGGGAAGCUGGAGUGCGGUAGAGGCUAGUGGAAUUCCUAGCGUAGCGGUAAAAUGCGUAGAUAUUAGGAGGAACACCGGUGGCGAAGGCGACUAGCUGGGCCGUAACUGACGCUGAGGCACGAAAGCGUGGGGAGCAAAUAGGAUUAGAUACCCUAGUAGUCCACGCCGUAAACGAUGAAUACUAAGUGUUGGAGAAAUUCAGUGCUGCAGUUAACGCAAUAAGUAUUCCGCCUGGGGAGUAUGCACGCAAGUGUGAAACUUAAAGGAAUUGACGGGG